This 468-nucleotide ribosomal RNA is filed under the name uncultured bacterium. RNAcentral describes it as "partial 16S ribosomal RNA". It matches the Rfam family "Bacterial small subunit ribosomal RNA", at positions 28 to 507 of the family's 1533-position model. The record is from RNAcentral.
GACGAACGCUGGCGGCGUGCUUAACACAUGCAAGUCGAACGGAAAGGCCCUGCUUUUGUGGGGUGCUCGAGUGGCGAACGGGUGAGUAACACGUGAGUAACCUGCCCUUGACUUUGGGAGAACUUCAGGAAACUGGGGCUAAUACCGGAUAUGAGCUCCUGCUGCAUGGUGGGGGUUGGAAAGUUUCGGCGUUUGGGGAUGGACUCGCGGCUUAUCAGCUUGUUGGUGGGGUAGUGGCUUACCAAGGCUUUGACGGGUAGCCGGCCUGAGAGGGUGACCGGCCACAUUGGGACUGAGAUACGGCCCAGACUCCUACGGGAGGCAGCAGUGGGGAAUAUUGCACAAUGGGCGGAAGCCUGAUGCAGCAACGCCGCGUGCGGGAUGACGGCCUUCGGGUUGUAAACCGCUUUCGCCUGUGACGAAGCGUGAGUGACGGUAAUGGGUAAAGAAGCACCGGCUAACUACGUG